RNAcentral lists this long non-coding RNA (910 nucleotides) under Cricetulus griseus (Chinese hamster). RNAcentral describes it as "lncRNA (ENSCGRG00015035596.1)". The record is from RNAcentral. Lineage: Eukaryota; Metazoa; Chordata; Mammalia; Rodentia; Cricetidae.
CGAAUUCUCGCGCGAGUGACGGCGCUCCUCCCACAGUGGGCGUGGCGCCGAGCCCUGGGGCUGCUGAGAGCGUCUCCGGGUCCAGGCUGGCGGGACUGAGCGGUGGGUUCGGUGCGAGCGUACCUUGACGCUGUCAGCCAGGACCGGUCUCGGGCCACCCACAAAUCCUUAAGCACACUUUCUCCCCACGCUCCCAGUUACCGUUAGGCAAAAGCGGACAGCGUCUCCGGCCCAGCCAAAGCAGCGCCUGGGAGACUCCUUCCAGGAGCGCGUUUCUGUCAGCAGAGCAAACACCGGGGUCCCCUCCGCGGGGUCCGCCCGCAGGUCCUGACAGCUCGAGGCGGUGACCGGCGGUAGUCCUGAGGGCCCGCUUGGCUCCCCCGCGGCCGCCCGCCGCUAGAUUUCAAACGCUCUAUUGGCGGGAACCCGUGCACCAGCUGAAACGCCUGCGGUGGCGCCACCUCUGGGACCUGGAGAGUCACCAGGAUGGGACUCGUCAAAGACAUAUAUAUGUGUACCAUGUACAUGUCUGGUGCCCAAAGAGAUCAGAAGAAGGUGUCACAUUCCCUGGAACUGGAGUUAUGGAUGGAUUUGAGAUACCAUGUUGGUGCUAGGAAUUGAACCCAGUGAGACUGGAGAGAUAACAGUAAGAGCACUUGCUUUUCUUCCAGAGGACCUGAGUUCAGACUCCAACACCCUCAUCAGGCAGCUCACAGAUGCUUGUAACUCCAACUCUAGCCAUAUACAUACCCUUAUACACAAAUACAAUCUUUUAAACAAACUGUAUAUAUUUUAUAAGAUUGUAAAAAUUAUACAAUAAAUCUCACUAUUUAUGAAAAAAGAUAUGUAUUCCAUUACCUUCUCUUAUUCUCCCUCCCCAUAGAUCUAUACUUGCCCUCUCAUAAUUCCC